This 497-nucleotide ribosomal RNA is filed under the name uncultured bacterium. RNAcentral's name for it is "partial 16S ribosomal RNA". It matches the Rfam family "Bacterial small subunit ribosomal RNA", at positions 28 to 507 of the family's 1533-position model. The record is from RNAcentral.
GAUGAACGCUGGCGGCGUGCCUAAUACAUGCAAGUCGAGCGAACAGACGAGGAGCUUGCUCCUCUGACGUUAGCGGCGGACGGGUGAGUAACACGUGGAUAACCUACCUAUAAGACUGGGAUAACUUCGGGAAACCGGAGCUAAUACCGGAUAAUAUAUUGAACCGCAUGGUUCAAUAGUGAAAGACGGUUUUGCUGUCACUUAUAGAUGGAUCCGCGCCGCAUUAGCUAGUUGGUAAGGUAACGGCUUACCAAGGCAACGAUGCGUAGCCGACCUGAGAGGGUGGUCGGCCGCACUGGAACUGAGCCACGGUCCAGACUCCUACGGGAGGCAGCAGUAGGGAAUCUUCCGCAAUGGGCGAAAGCCUGACGGAGCAACGCCGCGUGAGUGAUGAAGGUCUUCGGAUCGUAAAACUCUGUUAUUAGGGAAGAACAAAUGUGUAAGUAACUAUGCACGUCUUGACGGUACCUAAUCAGAAAGCCACGGCUAACUACGUG